CCUACGGGAGGCAGCAGUGAGGAAUAUUGGUCAAUGGGCGGAAGCCUGAACCAGCCAAGUCGCGUGAGGGAAUAAGGCCCUACGGGUCGUAAACCUCUUUUGCCGGGGAGCCAGGGCCGGGACGAGUCCCGGUCCGGAGAGUACCCGGAGAAAAAGCAUCGGCUAACUCCGUGCCAGCAGCCGCGGUAAUACGGAGGAUGCGAGCGUUAUCCGGAUUUCUUGGGUUUAAAGGGUGCGUAGGCGGGCUUCUAAGUCAGCGGUAAAAAUUCGGGGCUCAACCCCGUCCGGCCGUUGAGACUGGGUGCCUGGAGUGGGCGAGAAGAAGGCGGAAUGCGUGGUGUAGCGGUGAAAUGCAUAGAUAUCACGCAGAACCACGAUUGCGAAGGCAGCCUUCCGGCGCCCUACUGACGCUGAGGCACGAAAGUGCGGGGAUCGAACAGGAUUAGAUACCCCGGUAGUC
This 460-nucleotide ribosomal RNA is filed under the name uncultured bacterium. RNAcentral's name for it is "partial 16S ribosomal RNA". It matches the Rfam family "Bacterial small subunit ribosomal RNA", at positions 338 to 795 of the family's 1533-position model. The record is from RNAcentral.